RNAcentral lists this ribosomal RNA (293 nucleotides) under uncultured bacterium. RNAcentral describes it as "partial 16S ribosomal RNA". It matches the Rfam family "Archaeal small subunit ribosomal RNA", at positions 455 to 747 of the family's 1478-position model. The record is from RNAcentral.
GUGCCAGCAGCCGCGGUAAUACCGGCAGCCCGAGUGAUGGCCGAUCUUAUUGGGCCUAAAGCGUCCGUAGCUGGCUGCGCAAGUCCGUCGGGAAAUCCACUCGCCCAACGAGUGGGCGUCCGACGGAAACUGCACAGCUUGGGGCCGGAGGACUCGAGGGGUACGUCCGGGGUAGGAGUGAAAUCCCGUAAUCCUGGACGGACCACCGGUGGCGAAAGCGCCUCGAGAGGACGGAUCCGACAGUGAGGGACGAAAGCCAGGGUCUCCAACCGGAUUAGAUACCCCAGUAGUCC